ACAUGUUCUCGGGGUGGGGUGCAAUUCCCCACCAGCGGUAAUCAUCUUCCGUUUGUGCGCAGAUGUAGCCCGCGAGCGCUCGAUUGCUGGCUCAUGCAACCCAUGCAAAGAGACGGCGAACGAGGUGAGGUCAGCAGACUCGGUUGGAUUCCGGGGCCGACGGUACAGUCCGGAUGAAAAAGAACGGGA
This 189-nucleotide non-coding RNA is filed under the name unidentified. RNAcentral's name for it is "Candidatus Burkholderia FMN sequence". It matches the Rfam family "FMN riboswitch aptamer (RFN element)". From Rfam's summary of the family: The RFN element is a highly conserved domain that is found frequently in the 5'-untranslated regions of prokaryotic mRNAs that encode for flavin mononucleotide (FMN) biosynthesis and transport proteins. The record is from RNAcentral.